Molecule: ribosomal RNA, 164 nt
Filed under: Coffea merguensis
Lineage: Eukaryota; Viridiplantae; Streptophyta; Magnoliopsida; Gentianales; Rubiaceae
Description: 5.8S ribosomal RNA
Rfam family: 5.8S ribosomal RNA
About the family: 5.8S ribosomal RNA (5.8S rRNA) is a component of the large subunit of the eukaryotic ribosome. It is transcribed by RNA polymerase I as part of the 45S precursor that also contains 18S and 28S rRNA.
Source: RNAcentral
AAAACGACUCUCGGCAACGGAUAUCUCGGCUCUCGCAUCGAUGAAGAACGCAGCGAAAUGCGAUACUUGGUGUGAAUUGCAGAAUCCCGCGAACCAUUGAGUCUUUGAACGCAAGUUGCGCCCGAAGCCAUUAGGCCGAGGGCACGUCUGCCUGGGCGUCACGC